Molecule: ribosomal RNA, 568 nt
Filed under: uncultured bacterium
Lineage: Bacteria
Description: bacterial SSU rRNA
Rfam family: Bacterial small subunit ribosomal RNA
Source: RNAcentral
CCUACGGGGGGCAGCAGUGGGGAAUAUUGGGCAAUGGAGGAAACUCUGACCCAGCGACGCCGCGUGAGGGAUGAAGGCCUUCGGGUUGUAAACCGCUUUCAGCAAGGAAGAAGCGAAAGUGACGGUACUUGCAGAAGAAGCACCGGCUAACUAUGUGCCAGCAGCCGCGGUAAUACAUAGGGUGCAAGCGUUGUCCGGAAUUAUUGGGCGUAAAGAGCUCGUAGGUGGUUCGUCACGUCGGAUGUGAAAAUCUGGGGCUUAACCCCAGACCUGCAUUCGAUACGGGCGAGCUAGAGUGUGGUAGGGGAGACUGGAAUUCCUGGUGUAGCGGUGGAAUGCGCAGAUAUCAGGAGGAACACCAAUGGCGAAGGCAGGUCUCUGGGCCAUAACUGACACUGAGGAGCGAAAGUGCGGGGAGCGAACAGGAUUAGAUACCCUGGUAGUCCGCACCGUAAACGGUGGGCACUAGUUGUGGGAACCUUCCACGGUUUCCGCGACGCAGCAAACGCAUUAAGUGCCCCGCCUGGGGAGUACGAUCGCAAGAUUAAAACUCAAAGGAAUUGACGGA